CCAGGGACGGGGGAGGAGAGGCAGAGAAGAAAGAGACGGAUGUCAGGUACACGCAUGAGCAGUCUACCGCGAUGGGCACCCGGGGCUCGCUCCGACUGGGGUUCCCCGACAGACUGCAGAGAUCGAC
Long non-coding RNA from Herpailurus yagouaroundi (jaguarundi), 127 nucleotides. RefSeq lists it as uncharacterized. Lineage: Eukaryota; Metazoa; Chordata; Mammalia; Carnivora; Felidae. The record is from RefSeq and is a predicted model, not a curated record. The transcript has 3 exons.